RNAcentral lists this ribosomal RNA (570 nucleotides) under uncultured bacterium. RNAcentral describes it as "bacterial SSU rRNA". It matches the Rfam family "Bacterial small subunit ribosomal RNA", at positions 67 to 634 of the family's 1533-position model. The record is from RNAcentral.
CGGUAACAGGUCUUCGGAUGCUGACGAGUGGCGAACGGGUGAGUAAUACAUCGGAACGUGCCCGAUCGUGGGGGAUAACGCAGCGAAAGCUGUGCUAAUACCGCAUACGAUCUACGGAUGAAAGCGGGGGAUCGCAAGACCUCGCGCGGACGGAGCGGCCGAUGGCAGAUUAGGUAGUUGGUGGGAUAAAAGCUUACCAAGCCGACGAUCUGUAGCUGGUCUGAGAGGACGACCAGCCACACUGGGACUGAGACACGGCCCAGACUCCUACGGGAGGCAGCAGUGGGGAAUUUUGGACAAUGGGCGAAAGCCUGAUCCAGCCAUGCCGCGUGCAGGAUGAAGGCCUUCGGGUUGUAAACUGCUUUUGUACGGAACGAAAAAGUCUUCUCUAAUACAGGGGGCGAAUGACGGUACCGUAAGAAUAAGCACCGGCUAACUACGUGCCAGCAGCCGCGGUAAUACGUAGGGUGCGAGCGUUAAUCGGAAUUACUGGGCGUAAAGCGUGCGCAGGCGGUUAUAUAAGACAGAUGUGAAAUCCCCGGGCUCAACCUGGGAACUGCAUUAGUGACU